GGAGUAACAUGUGCAUACAAAACGCCGUUGCGGGGAGACUGUACAUUGACUGAUCGCCUCUCCUAAGAGCGCCACGGAACUCGACGCCAGGUUGUUUUCCUUUGAACAAUUACUUUAAAGUACAGAUCAAAGAGCCUCUAACAUCUCGAGCAAAACUUGAGCAGCGCGUUUCUUCGUAUUAUUUGCCAUCGAAGACAUGUUACGUGACAAGGAAAUUAUUGCAUCUUGAAGGUGUACUGCAACAUUCUUGUGGGUUCUAAGGCGAGGAGGAAGUAUUCAAGAAAAUAUGGCAAUGGACGUAGACGCCCUACAGAUUGCAAAAUCUGUGGAGAAGAGAUUGGAGUACUACAUGAAUGUAAAGAGAUUGGAGGAGGGGUUUGAUCCGACGGGACAAGGCGUGUACCGAACAUCACACCGUAUGGUA
Molecule: long non-coding RNA, 424 nt
Organism: Branchiostoma floridae (Florida lancelet)
Lineage: Eukaryota; Metazoa; Chordata; Leptocardii; Amphioxiformes; Branchiostomatidae
Exons: 3
Source: RefSeq, a predicted model, not a curated record